RNAcentral lists this ribosomal RNA (470 nucleotides) under uncultured bacterium. RNAcentral describes it as "bacterial SSU rRNA". It matches the Rfam family "Bacterial small subunit ribosomal RNA", at positions 917 to 1382 of the family's 1533-position model. The record is from RNAcentral.
GGGCCCGCACAAGCGGUGGAGCAUGUGCUUUAAUUCGAUGCAACGCGAAGAACCUUACCUGGGUUUGACAUGGGGGUGAAAGUCUGUAGAGAUAUGGAUCUUUCCGCAAGGAACACCCCACACAGGUGCUGCAUGGUUGUCGUCAGCUCGUGUCGUGAGAUGUUAGGUUAAGUCCUGCAACGAGCGCAACCCUCGCCCUUAGUUGCCAUCAGGUGAUGCUGGGAACUCUAAGGGGACCGCCUGGUUUAACCAGGAGGAAGGUGGGGAUGACGUCAAAUCCUCAUGGCCCUUACGUCCAGGGCUAGACACGUGCUACAAUGGUAGAUACAGCGGGAUGCAAGCUGGUGACAGCAAGCCAAUCCCUUAAAAUCUAUCUCAGUCCGGAUUGAAGUCUGCAAUUCGACUUCAUGAAGCUGGAAUCGCUAGUAAUCGCGGAUCAGCAUGCCGCGGUGAAUACGUUCCCGGGCCUU